UGCCGAGCCUUCGUCUUGCUGCUCUCAGCUACGCUUCGCUUCACUUCAUCCAUUCGUCACCGACAAUGGCGGACAAGGCAGUCACCAUACGAACCAGAAAGUUCAUGACCAACCGGCUUCUCUCCAGGAAGCAAUUUAUCAUUGAUGUUCUACACCCAGGAAGACCAAACGUCUCUAAGGCAGAGCUGAAGGAAAAGUUAGCAAGAAUAUAUGAUGUGAAGGAUGCGAAUGCAAUUUUUGUCUUUAAGUUUCGAACUCACUUUGGAGGUGGAAAAUCAACUGGGUUUGGUUUGAUUUAUGAUUCUGUUGAAAAUGCCAAAAAAUAUGAGCCCAAGUACAGGCUCAUCAGGAAUGGACUUGACACUAAAGUA
RNAcentral lists this unclassified non-coding RNA (371 nucleotides) under Hevea brasiliensis (rubber tree). Lineage: Eukaryota; Viridiplantae; Streptophyta; Magnoliopsida; Malpighiales; Euphorbiaceae. The record is from RNAcentral.